RNAcentral lists this ribosomal RNA (158 nucleotides) under Minimedusa polyspora. RNAcentral describes it as "5.8S ribosomal RNA". It matches the Rfam family "5.8S ribosomal RNA". From Rfam's summary of the family: 5.8S ribosomal RNA (5.8S rRNA) is a component of the large subunit of the eukaryotic ribosome. Lineage: Eukaryota; Fungi; Basidiomycota; Agaricomycetes; Cantharellales; Hydnaceae. RNAcentral also lists the same sequence under 2 other names. The record is from RNAcentral.
CAACUUUUAACAACGGAUCUCUUGGCUCUCGCAUCGAUGAAGAACGCAGCGAAAUGCGAUAAGUAAUGUGAAUUGCAGAAUUCAGUGAAUCAUCGAAUCUUUGAACGCACCUUGCACUCCUUGGUAUUCCGAGGAGUACGCCUGUUCGAGUGUUAUGA